RNAcentral lists this ribosomal RNA (497 nucleotides) under uncultured bacterium. RNAcentral's name for it is "partial 16S ribosomal RNA". It matches the Rfam family "Bacterial small subunit ribosomal RNA", at positions 28 to 507 of the family's 1533-position model. The record is from RNAcentral.
GAUGAACGCUGGCGGCGUGCCUAAUACAUGCAAGUCGAGCGAACAGACGAGGAGCUUGCUCCUCUGACGUUAGCGGCGGACGGGUGAGUAACACGUGGAUAACCUACCUAUAAGACUGGGAUAACUUCGGGAAACCGGAGCUAAUACCGGAUAAUAUAUUGAACCGCAUGGUUCAAUAGUGAAAGACGGUUUUGCUGUCACUUAUAGAUGGAUCCGCGCCGCAUUAGCUAGUUGGUAAGGUAACGGCUUACCAAGGCAACGAUGCGUAGCCGACCUGAGAGAGUGAUCGGCCACACUGGAACUGAGACACGGUCCAGACUCCUACGGGAGGCAGAAGUAGGGAAUCUUCCGCAAUGGGCGAAAGCCUGACGGAGCAACGCCGCGUGAGUGAUGAAGGUCUUCGGAUCGUAAAACUCUGUUAUUAGGGAAGAACAAAUGUGUAAGUAACUAUGCACGUCUUGACGGUACCUAAUCAGAAAGCCACGGCUAACUACGUG